RNAcentral lists this small RNA (113 nucleotides) under Marmota monax (woodchuck). The record is from RNAcentral. Lineage: Eukaryota; Metazoa; Chordata; Mammalia; Rodentia; Sciuridae.
GCCAGGUGCAGUGGCACACACCUGUAAUCCCAGUGGCUUGGGAGGCUGAGGCAGGAGGAUUAUGAGUUCAAAGCCAGCCUCAGCAAAAGCAAGGCAGUAAGACCCUGUCUCUA